Molecule: ribosomal RNA, 440 nt
Filed under: uncultured bacterium
Lineage: Bacteria
Description: partial 16S ribosomal RNA
Rfam family: Bacterial small subunit ribosomal RNA
Source: RNAcentral
CCUACGAGUGGCAGCAGUGGGGAAUAUUGCACAAUGGGGGAAACCCUGAUGCAGCGACGCCGCGUGAGUGAAGAAGUAAUUCGUUACGUAAAGCUCUAUCAGCAGGGAAGAAAAUGACGGUACCUGAGUAAGAAGCCCCGGCUAACUACGUGCCAGCAGCCGCGGUAAUACGUAGGGGGCAAGCGUUAUCCGGAUUUACUGGGUGUAAAGGGAGCGUAGACGGCAGCGCAAGUCUGGAGUGAAAUGCCGGGGCCCAACCCCGGAACUGCUUUGGAAAAUGUGCAGCUGGAGUGCAGGAGAGGUAAGCGGAAUUCCUAGUGUAGCGGUGAAAUGCGUAGAUAUUAGGAGGAACACCAGUGGCGAAGGCGGCUUACUGGACUGUAACUGACGUUGAGGCUCGAAAGCGUGGGGAGCAAACAGGAUUAGAUACCCCUGUAGUC